AACGUAGGAGACAAGCGUUAUCCGGAGUUACUGGGCGUAAAGGGCGUGUAGGCGGCUUUUUAAGUGGGUUGUGAAAGCGGCUGGCUCAACCAGCCGAGGCCGACCCAGACUGGAGAGCUGGAGGGCGGUAGAGGGGUGUGGAAUUCCGGGUGUAGUGGUGAAAUGCGUAGAGAUCCGGAGGAACACCAGAGGCGAAGGCGACACUCUAGGCCGCACCUGACGCUGAGACGCGACAGCACGGGGAGCGAAC
RNAcentral lists this ribosomal RNA (250 nucleotides) under uncultured bacterium. RNAcentral's name for it is "partial 16S ribosomal RNA". It matches the Rfam family "Bacterial small subunit ribosomal RNA", at positions 524 to 773 of the family's 1533-position model. The record is from RNAcentral.